CCUACGGGUGGCUGCAGUGAGGAAUAUUGGUCAAUGGACGAGAGUCUGAACCAGCCAAGUAGCGUGAAGGAUGACGGCCCUAUGGGUUGUAAACUUCUUUUAUAUGGGAAUAAAAUGUGCCACGUGUGGGAGUUUGUAUGGACCAUAUGAAUAAGGAUCGGGUAACUCCGUGCCAGCAGCCGCGGUAAUACGGAGGAACCGAGCGUUAUCCGGAUUUAUGGGGGUAAAAGGGGGCGCAGGCGGGCUGUUAAGUCAGCGGUAAAAGCCCGGGGCUCAACCCCGGACCGCCGUUGAAACUGGCAGUCUCGAGUUGGAGAGAAGUAUGCGGAAUGCGCGGUGUAGCGGUGAAAUGCAUAGAUAUCGCGCAGAACUCCGAUUGCGAAGGCAGCAUGCCGGCUCCACACUGACGCUGAGGCACGAAAGCGUGGGUAUCGAACAGGAUUAGAUACCCCAGUAGUC
RNAcentral lists this ribosomal RNA (459 nucleotides) under uncultured bacterium. Its description in RNAcentral is "partial 16S ribosomal RNA". It matches the Rfam family "Bacterial small subunit ribosomal RNA", at positions 338 to 795 of the family's 1533-position model. The record is from RNAcentral.